RNAcentral lists this unclassified non-coding RNA (176 nucleotides) under soil metagenome. RNAcentral describes it as "partial internal transcribed spacer 1". The record is from RNAcentral.
CAAGAAGCGCCGAAAGGCUACUUUACAAACCAUAGCGAACCCGAUCCUUCAGCGUUGCUUCGGCGGGUAGCUCGGCUCCCCCUCGGGGGCCGGGCCGGCUGCCCGGCCCCCGCCGGAGGUCACGAAACUCUAUGUAUUAACAGCUAGAAUCUCUGAGUAUAAACACAAAUAAGUCA